Molecule: ribosomal RNA, 253 nt
Filed under: uncultured bacterium
Lineage: Bacteria
Description: partial 16S ribosomal RNA
Rfam family: Bacterial small subunit ribosomal RNA
Source: RNAcentral
UACAGAGGAUGCAAGCGUUAUCCGGAAUGAUUGGGCGUAAAGCGUCUGUAGGUGGCUUUUUAAGUCCGCCGUCAAAUCCCAGGGCUCAACUCUGGACAGGCGGUGGAAACUACCAAGCUGGAGUACGGUAGGGGUAGAGGGAAUUCCCGGUGUAGCGGUGAAAUGCGUAGAGAUCGGGAAGAACAUCGGUGGCGAAAGCGCUCUACUGGACCGCAACUGACACUCAGGGACGAAAGCUAGGGGAGCGAAUGGG